Non-coding RNA from Bombyx mori (domestic silkworm), 84 nucleotides. NCBI's taxonomy places the organism in Eukaryota, Metazoa, Arthropoda, Insecta, Lepidoptera, Bombycidae. The record is from Rfam.
UUAACUUGAAUUUGUAUGAAGUCGGAUCGUUUGCCUACGUUUGUCGCUAGGGGCGCUGUUCUAACUCCAUACAAAUUCGAGUUA